UACGGAGGGUGCAAGCAUUGAUCGGAAUUACUGGGCGUAAAGGGCGCGUAGGCGGCCCGAUAAGUCAGAUGUGAAAUUCCACGGCUCAACCGUGGAGCUGCAUUUGAAACUGUCGAGCUAGAGCGUAGUUAGGGAAAACGGAAUUCCACAUGUAGCGGUGAAAUGCGUAGAUAUGUGGAGGAACACCGGUGGUGAAGACGGUUUUCUGGGCUAUAGCUGACGCUGAGGCGCGAAAGCUAGGGGAGCAAACAGG
Molecule: ribosomal RNA, 253 nt
Filed under: uncultured bacterium
Lineage: Bacteria
Description: partial 16S ribosomal RNA
Rfam family: Bacterial small subunit ribosomal RNA
Source: RNAcentral